CACAGUGAUCUUGUAACUUUUGAAAAUACAGGAGUCUCCCCUUCUCCAUGGUUUCUCUUCCCGUGGUUUGUUACCCUUGGUCAACCAUGGUCUGAAAAUAGGAAAACACUUAAUUGAGGACAAAUGCUCUACAAUAAUAUCCCCUUAUCUUCAAGGAAUACUUUUAAAGACCACCAAUGGAUGCCUGAGGCUGAGCAUGAAGAAUUUUGAAGUUGAAACUUCACCAGAGUUGUGCCUUAGGUGGAGAAAUGGAAAACUAUAGAAGUAAAACCCAGAACGUUAAAAGAAGAAAGAUGCACGAGUUAUAUGAAUCUGCAAACAUAUUCAACUUUACUAUUAAUCAACAAGUAAAAACAAAAUUUCAAAUUUCUGCCCAUUAAGUUGGUGGGUAAAUUUUCUGCUUUAUUUUUGUCAAUACUUAAUCCUUGCCACCAUGCAGUGAGAGAGAUCUCAUCCAUAGUUAGUGGAUGCAAAAUUUGGUGAAAUCUUCCUGUCAAGCUCUUUGAAAAUGUGUAUGGAAUGUCUACAAGUGUUUGUAGGGCUUGAACCACAAUUACCAUACCUGAGAAUCCAUCUUAAACAUAUACAGUUUGAAGACAGCAGUAUGGACUCCUGAGUUAGUUUUCUAUUGGACAACAUCAAACUUGACCUAAAGGCCAUUUUAUGCUAUUAUUAAUGCAUUUGUUAAUAAAAUAGUUUGCUAUUAGUUAAGAAUAUGUUUUUAAGGAAUAUUUAAAAUAACAGUAAAAUGCCAAUAAUAAAA
Molecule: long non-coding RNA, 763 nt
Organism: Sapajus apella (tufted capuchin)
Lineage: Eukaryota; Metazoa; Chordata; Mammalia; Primates; Cebidae
Exons: 4
Source: RefSeq, a predicted model, not a curated record